This 87-nucleotide transfer RNA is filed under the name Candidatus Doudnaibacteriota bacterium. RNAcentral describes it as "Candidatus Doudnabacteria bacterium tRNA-Leu". It matches the Rfam family "tRNA". Rfam says of the family: Transfer RNA (tRNA) molecules are approximately 80 nucleotides in length. The record is from RNAcentral. Lineage: Bacteria; Candidatus Doudnaibacteriota.
GGGCGUAUGGUGGAAUUGGUAUACACGUACGCUUCAGGUGCGUAUGGGAGCAAUCCCGUGAGAGUUCGAGUCUCUCUACGCCCACCA